CUCAAUCUGAUACCCCUUGAAAUCAAGAAAACUAUACGCAUGCGCAUUAAUACAUAAACAAACCCGCGACUUGCGAUUUGGAACAAGAACGUUUAUUUAAUUUAUGAUAUGAUGAAUGAGUCUCAAUUUCUUUAUGAGAGUACAGUAUCAGUUUCAUAACGGUAAAAUAUAGAAAACUCCACUUCAGUUCUUAUAUAUGACAGAAAUAGAAUUAUCGGAAUUCAAAGAACUCUCGCAUUUAUCAAAAACUGGGAAUUCCCUCUGACGUGUUUCUAAAU
RNAcentral lists this long non-coding RNA (278 nucleotides) under Mytilus galloprovincialis (Mediterranean mussel). The record is from RNAcentral. Lineage: Eukaryota; Metazoa; Mollusca; Bivalvia; Mytilida; Mytilidae.